UGACAGUACUCCUACGGGGAGGCAGCAGUGGGGGAAUAUUGCACAAUGGGCGCAAGCCUGAUGCAGCCAUGCCGCGUGUGUGAAGAAGGCCUUCGGGUUGUAAAGCACUUUCAGUCGUGAGGGAGGUAGUGUAGUUAAUAGCUGCAUUAUUUGACGUUAGCGACAGAAGAAGCACCGGCUAACUCCGUGCCAGCAGCCGCGGUAAUACGGAGGGUGCGAGCGUUAAUCGGAAUUACUGGGCGUAAAGCGCAUGCAGGUGGUUUGUUAAGUCAGAUGUGAAAGACCCGGGGCUCAACCUCGGAAUAGCAUUUGAAACUGGCAGACUAGAGUACUGUAGAGGGGGGUAGGAAUUUCAGGUGUAGCGGUGAAAUGCGUAGAGAUCUGAAGGAAUACCGGUGGCGAAGGCGGCCCCCUGGACAGAUACUGACACUCAGAUGCGAAAGCGUGGGGAGCAAACAGGAUUAGAUACCCUGGUAG
Molecule: ribosomal RNA, 477 nt
Filed under: uncultured bacterium
Lineage: Bacteria
Description: bacterial SSU rRNA
Rfam family: Bacterial small subunit ribosomal RNA
Source: RNAcentral